RNAcentral lists this ribosomal RNA (253 nucleotides) under uncultured bacterium. RNAcentral's name for it is "partial 16S ribosomal RNA". It matches the Rfam family "Bacterial small subunit ribosomal RNA", at positions 524 to 776 of the family's 1533-position model. The record is from RNAcentral.
UACGUAGGAGGCAAGCGUUGUCCGGAAUUACUGGGCGUAAAGCGCGUGUAGGUGGUGGGACAAGUCUGCUGUGAAAGCGCCUGGCUUAACCGGGCGAGGUCGGCGGAAACUGUCCGACUAGAGGACGGUAGAGGGGGGUGGAAUUCCCGGUGUAGUGGUGAAAUGCGUAGAGAUCGGGAGGAACACCUGUGGCGAAGGCGGCCAUCUGGACGACAAUUGACGCUGAGACGCGAAAGCGUGGGUAGCAAACAGG